This is an RNA transcript of Fundulus heteroclitus (mummichog), 6963 nucleotides long. It is a transcript of the gene named unconventional myosin-XVIIIb, with no coding region annotated. The record is from RefSeq and is a predicted model, not a curated record. Lineage: Eukaryota; Metazoa; Chordata; Actinopteri; Cyprinodontiformes; Fundulidae. The transcript has 45 exons.
UGGUUCUAUUGCUACAUGCCCCCCUCAUUCAGUCAUACCCAGUGUAAGUCUGUGGUGGUGUCUGUGCGAAAGCAGGACUCUUCACUUGGCCCUCACAGGAUCCGCCGCCGGCCUCCUGGAUCUCCGAGAAGCUUCUUGGCUGUUCUGGAAGGUUUCCAGCUCUGCGUUCCCGGUCCUGUUUUGUGUUCACGCACAGUUAGAGGUUGUCUCGCACACACCCCACCACUGGCUGGCAUCACCGUGACCCCUCCUCCCCACGACCACCACCACACAUCCCUGAACCCCUCCCUCUUCCUCGGAGCAGCCAUGGCCUUGUCUUCGCGCUUAAAGCUGUGGGAGCAGAAGAUAAAGGAGGAGAACAAACCAGUGGCAGCAACUAUCCCUCCACCACCACUGUCAGUUCUGCCAGGAGGUAUCCUAAAACAGCUCGUCAGAGAUUCAGAGAAGGAGACCAAACAUAAAGAGCCAGAGGUCAAAGAGGUCAAAGAGGAGAGAACACCGAACAAACUGAGCGACAACCUCGUGCAACAGUUCCUUGUCCCAGAUCAGACUCCUCCAAUCCUCGAGGCAGAGAUGGCACUGCGGGCUGAACAGGUCAACAACAGCAAACAGAAAAGGUCCAACUCCGCCCAGUCGGAUAGCAGGCCCUCGUCUCAGCGCCACAUUUUGACUCCGGACUCCGACAAUAAACCAGAAAGCAGACAGACCUUAACACCGGAGCCCCUGAAGCAAAACCAGCAACAGGAAAAGAAGCAAGAAAUCAGCAGUAAGAAGGCACUGCAACCUGAGCGGAAAGGGAAGAGGAUAGAGGAUGUGGAGAAGGUGGAAAGAGCCGAGAAUGGGGUGGAGGAGAGACAAGAACCCGAGGGAAGGCAAGCUGACGCAACGGUAACGGAGAACGAUAGGAAGGAGGUGAGGGACGUGUGGUAUGAGGUUGGACCCGUGUGGUACGUCAACAAGGAUGGUUUCACCCGCGCCACUCAGCUGAAACCGGAUGAUGGCACACCUGAACUCCCGGAUGGUCGGAUGAGAGUUCGCCUUGAGACAGACGGGUCGCUCCAUGAUGUCACAGAGUUUGAAGUUGAGAAGUGUAACCCAUCAGAACUGGACCUAUGUGAAGAUCUGAGCGACCUGCAGACUGUGAAUGAAAGUGGAGUUCUGCACACGCUGACCAGCCGAGCUAAAGCCAACAUGCCCCUCACUCAUGCUGGACCCAACCUGGUCAGUUUGUGGCCCCCGCUUCAGACCCACAGCAAGACUCCGAAAUCACGGCGAGGGGAGUCCGUGUGGGACGCUCCUCCUCCUCUGGCUGCGCUUGUCAGGCAGCUAUAUUUGUCGCUGGUUGGAACCAGGAGGGACCACAGCGUGUGCGCACUGGGACGAAGCGGCACAGGCAAGACCACAACAUGCCAAGCUUUCACACAUGCUCUCCUCAAACAAGCCGGUACAGCUGGACCGAACAUCAGCGUGGAGCGUGUGCAGGCCAUGUUCACCAUCCUGAGGUCUUUCGGCUGUGUGAGCUCCCAGCACAGCGACGCGUCUUCUCGGUUUGCCAUGGUCUUCUCUCUGGACUUUAACCACGCUGGUCAGGUCUCUGCCGGACAGCUGCAGACUAUGAUGCUGGACAAAUGGAAAGUGUGUCAGAAGAGUCCAGGAGAAAGCAACUUCCUGGUCUUCUCUCAGAUGCUGGCUGGACUCAGCACAGACUUGAGGACAGAACUGCAGCUGCACCAGCUCCCUGAAUCCAACUCCUUUGGUAUACUUCAGCCCACCAAGGUUGAGGAAAAACAGCGAGCAUCUGUUGCCUUCACCAAGCUGCUGACUGCCAUGGAAACACUAAGCUUCUCAGCCGGCGAGCAGAAGGCGAUCUGGCAUGUUCUGGCUGCCAUUUACCACCUGGGAGCUGCUGGGGCCUGUAAAGUGGGCAGGAGGCAGUUUGUGAACUUCGACAGCGCUCAGGCAGCCAGCAGCAUCCUGGGAUGUGAGGCGGAGGAGCUGGACACUGCCGUCUUCAAACAUCACCUGCGACAGCUGCUGCAGAAAGCCACUGGUGUCAGCAGAGAAAGGAACGAGUCUGAAGAGGGUCCCCGUUUAACAGCUUCCCAGUGUGUGGAUGGAAUGGCUGCUGGACUCUAUGAAGAGCUCUUCACUGUCAUAGUCUCACUCAUCAACAGAGCCCUGAGCAGUGAGCAGCUGGCGUUAGCCUCUGUGAUGGUGGUGGACACGCCAGGCCUGAGGAACCCCCGGCACUGUGCAGAAGAGCGAGGGGCCAGCUGGUCCGAGCUUUGUCACAACUACCUGCAAGAGCGGCUGCUGGAGCACUACCACACACAAACCUUCAUACACUCGCUGGACAGAUACGCACAGGAGAGGGUUAAUGUGGAGUUUGAGUGUCCUGAGAGCUGUUCUUCAGAAGUUGUUUCUGCCAUCGAUCAGUCGCCUCCACAGGUCCGCGCAGCAGAUGAAAACCCCCGAGGUCUGCUGUGGGUUCUGGAUGAGGAGAUGGUGACACCCGCCUCCUGUGAAAGUGCCGCUCUGGAGAGAGUCUGUCGUUAUUACAGCAACACUGUGCGUCAGUGUGAGCAGCCACUGCAGUGCGAGGUGAACCACCUGACUGGCUGUGACCCUGUCCGUUACGAUCUCACGGGAUGGUUUGGUUGGAUCCAGAACAACCAGUCUUCUCUCAACGCCAUUUCUCUGCUCCAAAACUCCACCGUAGGGGUUAUCAAGACUCUGUUCAGACCCAGAAUCUCGGUGCCACCUCUGUGCCGAGGCCUGGGCGGGCUGGAGGGGGGCAGUCAGCGCGCUCUGCAGAGGAACGGGACCAUCCGCAAAACCUUCAGUGGCGGGAUGGCAGCGAUACGCAGAUACUCCCAUUGUAUAGCUGUAAAGCUGCAGGCAGAUGCGCUGGUGAACCUGAUCCGUCGAGCCAGGCCAGUGUUCCUACAGUGUGUGAGUGCAAAAGCCAACGCUGGCAGCUUUGAUAUCCCGGCUCUCAGAGUGCAGCUCCACUCCACUCAGAUCCUGUCAGCCCUCCAGCUCUACCGCACAGGUUAUCCAGAACACAUGACACUCAGUGACUUCAGGUGCCAUUUUCAGGCUUUAUCUCCUCCGAUUAUGAAACGUUACGCCUCAAUGUUUGUCAGCCACGAUGAGAGAAAGGCGGUGGAGGAGCUGCUGGUUGAGCUGGACAUAGAAAAAAAGAGCAUCGUGGUUGGUGGCAGCAGGGUUUUUAUGAAGAGGGGUGUGCUACAAUACCUGGAGCAGCAGAGGGAUCAGCAGGUGACUGGGUGGCUGGUUUACUUGCAGGCUGCCUGUAAAGGACACCUGGGACGUCAGAAGUACCGCAAGCUCAAGGUACAACAGAUGGCGGUAAGAUGUCUGCAGAGGAACCUGCGGGUUCUGAAGGUUGUAGCAAAAUGGAGCUGGUGGAAGCUUUUCUGCAGGGUGCGUCCUUUGCUUGAUGUCAACAUGGACAACGAAAGGCUGAGAGCCAAGGAGGAUGAAGUAUCAGCUCUGAGGCGCCGCCUGGAGAAGUCAGAGAAGGAGAGGAAUGAGUUGAGGCAGACGGUAGACAGCCUGGAGACCAAGGUUACAGCGGUGACAUCCGAGCUAAGCGAUGAGCGUUUCCGUGGAGAUGCCGUGGGUCAGGCUCUGGAUGUGGAGAGGGCAGAGAGACUUCGACUCAGCAGAGAGAAUAAAGACCUUCUGGCUCGGCUGGACCAGUGUAAAGUUACCAUGGAAACCCUUGAGAAGCAGCUAGAGGAGGAGAAGCAGAAAGCUCAAGCUGCUGUAAGUCAGAGAGGAGCUGCAACAGAGAGCGAACUAGCCAUGCAGCUGGAGUGCAGCCAGACGGAGGUGGAAUUUGUCCGCAGACGACUGAAGCAGACGGAAGAAAAGCUGGAGACAGAGAGACAGACCAGACAACAGCUCGAUACCAAGGUGGCAAUGCUGCAGGCCCAGCUGGAGCAAUCCCGGAGGAGCACGUUGGAGCUGAAACGUCACUGUCGCCGGGUGACCUCGGACCUUCAGGAUGCCAGAGUACUCAGUGAUGCUCUGCAAAGUCGCAUGCAUGAACUGGAGCGCAAACAGAGAAGGUUUGAUAAUGAGUUGGCCCAGGCUCUGGAGGAGGCCAACAAUGAGAGAGAGCAAAAGGACAAAGCUUUGCAAGAGAAUUCAGCUCUGGGGACCGAAGUAUUCAAUCUGCGGCGCAACCUGCAGGAGAGCCAGUCAGAGGUGAGUCGUCUGCAGAAGCAGAAGGAGGAGUUGUGUGCUCAGAUCAGAGACCUCAGCCUGCCGGUUGAUCUUGCCUCAGACUCGGUGCCUGACAUGAAGAAACAGAUUCGCCUCCUGGAGAGCCAAGCCAGCGAGAGAGCUGAAGAAAUGACCAAACUCUCCGCCCAGAUUCAGCAACAGCAGCAGAUCCACAUGCGAUUUGAGAUAGAGAUGGAGAGGAUGAAGCAGAUGCAUCAGAAGGAGUUGGAGGACAAAGAAGAAGAGUUGGAGGAUGUCCAUAAAUCCUCUCAAAGACGGCUGAAGCAGCUGGAGAUGCAGUUGGAGCAGGAGUAUGAGGAGAAGCAGAUGGUAAUUCAUGAGAAGCACGACUUGGAGGGACUCAUUGCAACGUUGUGUGAGCAGGUGGGACACAGAGACUUUGAUGUGGAGAGGAAGCUGAGGAGAGACCUGAAGCGGACCCAUGCUCUGUUGGCCGAUGCCCAGCUGCUACUCGCUACCCUGGACAGCGCAGGCCACAACCUUCCCAACGGCAGCAAAGACCAAAUAGAACAUCUGCAUUGCCAGCUGGAAGAAAGUGAGGCGAGGCGGCUGGAGGCUGAGAACAUGCAGAAAACUCUUUCCAUGGAGCUGGAGAACACCCAGCUGGAACUGGAGAAUAUGUGCAGGCAGAAGAGUGUGGUGGAGGAGCAGUUGGUCCUACUGCAGCAUGAGAACAUGGAUCUGCUGAAGAGGCUCGAGGAGGACCAGGAAGACCUCAAUGAGCUCAUGAAGAAACACAAAGCUCUUAUUGCACAGUCCUCCAGUGAUAUCUCUCAGAUCAGAGACCUACAGGCUGAGCUGGAGGAGGUGAAGAAACAGAGACACUCACUCCAAGAGGAGCUCCAGCAGUGCGUGUCCAGGGUGCAGUUCCUAGAGUCGUCCACCGUGGGGCGCAGCAUAGUCAGUAAACAGGAGGCCCGUGUGUGUGACCUGGAAAAUAAAUUGGAGUUUCAGAAGGGGCAAGUCAAGAGGUUUGAGGUGCUGGUGCUGCGUUUGAGGGACAGUGUGGUUCGUCUGGGAGAGGAGCUGGAGCAGAGUGCCCAGACCGAAGCUCGGGAGAGGGAGAACGCCCGCUACUUCCAGCAGCGCCUGCUGGAGAUGAAGCUGGAGAUGGAGGAGUUGAGCCAGAGAGAGCAGGACAGCAGCCGCAGACGGAUGGAGCUGGAAAUGCAGGUGGAGGAGCUCUCUGCCGUCCGACAGACGUUACAGGCCGACCUAGAGACAUCGAUCCGCCGCAUUGUAGAUCUGCAGGCCGCCCUGGAGGAAGUGGAAUCGAGCGAUGACAGCGAGACUGAAAGUGUUCAAACUGCAGUGGAGUCCUUUUCUCGAAAAAAAGACCUUGACUCUGUGUCCAGCGUUGGUUCUGUUGGAUCAAAGGAUGUCGGCGAGGGCAUUCGGUCCCGUAGAGGUGGCUCUCCCUAUAGCAGCCAAGACGGCCGUCAGUCUGUCACUGACACCAUGAGCACCUACAGCUUCCGUUCUUGUCUGGAUCCUGAUGACGAGGGCUCCCAGGCAGGGGGUGUGGGUGCCAGACAUCUGAGUCGAGCUCCAUCCUCCUCAGCGUUGUCUGAGCUGCUGGAUGGACUUCGGAAACGCCGAGCCGAGCCGGUGGACGGAGCUGGCAGCGCGGUGUCCCUUCCCAUUUACCAAACCACCGGCGCCUCAACUCUCAGGCGGAGAGGGUCAGCUCUUUCCCUUGGACCACUAGAUGUCCAGGAGCCCCGACCUGGUCCUAGCAUCCUGAAACCACCCUCUCCUCUCCUGCCACGGGCCGCCAGCACCCGCUCUGUCAACAGCUCGGAGGCAUCUACAGCCGAAGCUAAGCUCUCUCGCUUCAACUCAAGCGGCUCCGCCUCUUCGCUCCCGUCCCUGCCCCGCCUCUCCUCUUUGUCAUCUUCUCUUUCUGCUCACCAUCACGUUCCUACGUUGUCCAUCCCUGAGGAGGAUCAAGAUGAACCCCUGCGCUCAGCGACAGCUUCUGUCCAGCGUUCUCCUCAGCCGCUACGGCGGUGCCUGCUGGAGAGUGCCAUAACUGCAGAUGGAGGAGAGGGGUCUCUGGGGUCGGAACCGAUGGUCUUCCAAAACCGGCGUUUAACCAAUGGUUACGAUGACGCCGCCUCAGACAUCCUGCCUGCCAUCCGGAGAGCUCAGUCCACCAGCAGCCUGGCCAGCUCAAUCAGGGGAAGCAGGAGGGCGUUGAGCGUCCACUUUGGAGAGCUGCCGCCUUCCACACGCAGCAGGAAAGGCUCCGAGACAGAGUCCUCCAGUUCCGGGGGCUCAGGAGCAAGCUCCCAGGGUAGUGGCCCCCGUCGAAGAUUUGAACGGCCACAAGGAGAAAGACUGGAGGCAGAAGGGAGUGAGGGGGGAGACGUGGCUUCUGUCAUGAAGAAAUAUUUGAAGAAGGAGAUCGACUGAUGCAGGCGAGUCCCAGCUGAACAUGAGCAGGAGAGAUUCUCAGGUGGUAGAUGAAUGCAGGCUCAGGCUUGUAUCUGCCUCCUCAUGCGUCGGCCUCCAGCUGUGAGCUUCAAAGAGAAACGGCAGACCACGGGAAGCUGAAUGAAAUGCUUUAGAAGUCAACGCGGAUGCUUUGGACUCCUCAUCCGGAUAUUAAAGCCACUGGAAGAAAAAACACACUCUGUAUUUUCAAAUAAAAAUUCUGUUUGUAUAUGAUUAAAAAUGAAUGAAGAA